Molecule: ribosomal RNA, 869 nt
Filed under: uncultured archaeon
Lineage: Archaea
Description: bacterial SSU rRNA
Rfam family: Archaeal small subunit ribosomal RNA
Source: RNAcentral
GAUGAUACUAAGCCAUGCGAGUCAUUGUAGCAAUACAAGGCAGACGGCUCAGUAACGCGUAGUCAAUCUACCCUAUGGACGGGAAUAACCUCGGGAAACUGAGAAUAAUGCCCGAUAGAACAUUAUACCUGGAACGGUUUAUGUUUCAAAUGAUUUAUCGCCGUAGGAUGGGACUGCGGCCUAUCAGUUUGUUGGUGAGGUAAUGGCCCACCAAGACUAUUACAGGUACGGGCUCUGAGAGGAGUAGCCCGGAGAUGGGUACUGAGACACGGACCCAGGCCCUAUGGGGCGCAGCAGGCGAGAAAACUUUGCAAUGUGCGAAAGCACGACAAGGUUAAUCCGAGUGGUUUCUGCUAAAGAAACCUUUUGCUAGUCCUAGAAACACUAGUGAAUAAGGGGUGGGCAAGUUCUGGUGUCAGCCGCCGCGGUAAAACCAGCACCUCAAGUGGUCAGGAUGAUUAUUGGGCCUAAAGCAUCCGUAGCCCGUUUUGUAAGUUUUCGGUUAAAUCCAUACGCUCAACGUAUGGGCUGCCGGGAAUAUUGCAUAACUAGGAAGUGGGAGAGGUAGACGGUACUCGGUAGGAAGGGGUAAAAUCCUUUGAUCUAUUGAUGACCACCUGUGGCGAAGGCGGUCUACCAGAACACGUUCGACGGUGAGGGAUGAAAGCUGGGGGAGCAAACCGGAUUAGAUACCCGGGUAGUCCCAGCUGUAAACUAUGCAAACUCAGUGAUGCAUUGGCUUGUGGCCAAUGCAGUGCUGCAGGGAAGCCGUUAAGUUUGCCGCCUGGGAAGUACGUACGCAAGUAUGAAACUUAAAGGAAUUGGCGGGGGAGCACCACAAGGGGUGAAGCCUGCGGUUCAAUUGGAGU